UUGUUUGUCAGCUGCGCUUGCACUUGGGUCAGGAUAGUAGGUGGAGGAGGUGAGCGAGUUAGGGGGUGGGGGUUGAGUGGAUGAGGAGAGGGUAGAGGUCGGCGGAGGAGGCCGUCGACCAGCACUCCGUUCGGCGGCCACUCGGCGGGGCGCGAGGUGGACGGAGAUGAAGGAAGAGGAGGAAGGGUAGAGGAGGGACUGGAGGGAGGGUAGAGAGAGGUGCGGACGCGUGCCGCAUCCCUGACCCGAGAGGGCCUCUUCCAUCGGUGCCGGCGCGGGGAACCCAAGCUAGAGCUGCUCUAGGACCGCAACGGCCCGGCACCGCAACCACCGGACUGGACGCCUAAACCGCCACCGGCCACGACGCCCUACCGCAAGCAGCCCCUAGGCGCCACGUGCCCAGCGACUCCGACGGCCCCUCCAGCUCCGCGGCGGCGGAGGCCCCUCCAGGGGUAGCUUCGCGACCAGUACGGCCGACACCACUCAGGGACGGGGCGCGCGCGUGGUUGCUCCACUCGGCAGCUACCGAGACGAGGCCCGCUGAGGCGAGGGCGGAGGCCCCUCCAGGGGUAGCUGCUGCGACGAGUGGAGGCCACGCCGGCCCGCAGGAGCGGCGCAAGUUAUUACCGCAGUGCCUUCCAACGCCGGGACGCCACGCAGUGCAUACUGCCCAGGAAGCGUAAGGUUUGGAGGAGCAGUAGGUCCAACCCUAGCGUUGUCCCGUCCCGUUCAAGCAGCUAGACCAAGCCUUCCGCCGGCUGGACUCCAUGCACCUGCGGUACUCCGGGGAGUAGCGGUUGCUGAAGGGCGUGGAGUGGUGGCGCCGCGUCCAGGCCGAGUGCGUCAUUGGUACUAAUUGAUGAUCGCGCACACAGACGGACUAAUCAGCACAUGUGACUCUAUGAUGAUAGUUAUUCGUGGACCUAACAACAAAUCAAAAGUGGUGUGAUAAUAACUACGUGACUUCUCAAACCACCUACUAUCUAAUAUUCACCGAUUACUUGCUUAGACGAAAUUAAUCUGUCAUACAUCGUCGUCGACAUAUGAUGAUUAGUACAACUUUUGGAUAUGAGAAGUCUAAAAUCAUCAAGGGUACCGAUUAAGAACAACUGUAGUACCAUUUUGUUCAACUUUUAUACCGUUUUGUACGUUGUCAUCAACGGAACCGUUUUGUUACAACUUUAACGUCUCCUUACUGUAAGAACUAUAUGAACCCUCGUACGAAAAGGUCCAGAAGUAAAACCGUCGUACCGUUGUUUAGAUAUGAUUAAAAUGGUAGUACCGUUAAAAAUCUAGGAUUUCUAUCUGUUGUAAGAAAAGAUUCAAGAAUGUACGGUUCUUUUG
This 1344-nucleotide ribosomal RNA is filed under the name Triticum aestivum (bread wheat). Its description in RNAcentral is "partial small subunit ribosomal RNA". Lineage: Eukaryota; Viridiplantae; Streptophyta; Magnoliopsida; Poales; Poaceae. The record is from RNAcentral.